AAAUUGCCAUGGAUACUGGGUUUCUUGAGUACAGAAGAGGUCGGUGGAAUUCGUAGUGUAGCGGUGAAAUGCAUAGAUAUUACGAAGAACAUCAGUGGCGAAGGCGGCCGGCUGGACUGUAACUGACACUGAGGCACGAAAGCGUGGGGAGCGAACAGGAUUAGAUACCCUGGUAGUCCACGCUGUAAACGAUGCAUACUAGUUGUUGGCCCUUCGGGGCCAGUGAUGCAGUUAACGCAGUAAGUAUGCCACCUGGGGAGUACGUCGGCAACGAUGAAACUCAAAGGAAUUGACGGGGGCCCGCACAAGCGGUGGAGCAUGUGGCUUAAUUCGAUGCAACGCGAGGAACCUUACCUGGGCUAAAUCUACAGUGUUACCUCCCGAAAAGG
This 389-nucleotide ribosomal RNA is filed under the name uncultured bacterium. RNAcentral's name for it is "bacterial SSU rRNA". It matches the Rfam family "Bacterial small subunit ribosomal RNA", at positions 618 to 1009 of the family's 1533-position model. The record is from RNAcentral.